RNAcentral lists this ribosomal RNA (498 nucleotides) under uncultured bacterium. RNAcentral's name for it is "partial 16S ribosomal RNA". It matches the Rfam family "Bacterial small subunit ribosomal RNA", at positions 29 to 523 of the family's 1533-position model. The record is from RNAcentral.
AUUGAACGCUGGCGGCACGCCUUACACAUGCAAGUCGAACGGUAACAGGUCUUCGGAUGCUGACGAGUGGCGAACGGGUGAGUAAUACAUCGGAACGCGCCCAGGAGUGGGGGAUAACUGCUCGAAAGAGCAGGUAAUACCGCAUACGACCUGAGGGCGAAAGGGGGGGAUCGCAAGACCUCUCGCUAUUGGAGCGGACGAUAUCAGAUGAGCUAGUUGGUGGGGGAAAGGCCCACCAAGGCAACGAUCUGUAGUUGGUCUGAGAGGACGACCAGCCACACUGGGACUGAGACACGGCCCAGACUCCUACGGGAGGCAGCAGUGGGGAAUUUUGGACAAUGGGCGCAAGCCUGAUCCAGCAAUGCCGCGUGCAGGAAGAAGGCCUUCGGGUUGUAAACUGCUUUUGUCAGGGAAGAAAUCUUCUGGGCUAAUACCCCGGGAGGAUGACGGUACCUGAAGAAUAAGCACCGGCUAACUUUGUGCCAGCCGCCGCCGUAA